UCAGGCCUAACACAUGCAAGUCGAGCGGACAGAAGGGAGCUUGCUCCCGGAUGUUAGCGGCGGACGGGUGAGUAACACGUGGGUAACCUGCCUGUAAGACUGGGAUAACUCCGGGAAACCGGAGCUAAUACCGGAUAGUUCCUUGAACCGCAUGGUUCAAGGAUGAAAGACGGUUUCGGCUGUCACUUACAGAUGGACCCGCGGCGCAUUAGCUAGUUGGUGGGGUAAUGGCUCACCAAGGCGACGAUGCGUAGCCGACCUGAGAGGGUGAUCGGCCACACUGGGACUGAGACACGGCCCAGACUCCUACGGGAGGCAGCAGUAGGGAAUCUUCCGCAAUGGACGAAAGUCUAACGGAGCAACGCCGCGUGAGUGAUGAAGGUUUUCGGAUCGUGAAGCUCUGUUGUUAGGGAAGAACAAGUGCGAGAGUAACUGCUCGCACCUUGACGGUACCUAACCAGAAAGCCACGGCUAACUACGUGCCAGCAGCCGCGGUAAUACGUAGGUGGCAAGCGUUGUCCGGAAUUAUUGGGCGUAAAGGGCUCGCAGGCGGUUUCUUAAGUCUGAUGUGAAAGCCCCCGGCUCAACCGGGGAGGGUCAUUGGAAACUGGGAAACUUGAGUGCAGAAGAGGAGAGUGGAAUUCCACGUG
RNAcentral lists this ribosomal RNA (650 nucleotides) under uncultured bacterium. RNAcentral describes it as "bacterial SSU rRNA". It matches the Rfam family "Bacterial small subunit ribosomal RNA", at positions 42 to 675 of the family's 1533-position model. The record is from RNAcentral.